AAGAGUAAAAAAAGAAAAAGAGAAAGAAAAAAAAAAAGAAAACAACUCUAGUGGCCAGACACUAAGCAGCUGCAGUGUGGCCUUCCUAGUUAGCUGUCAAUUAGAUGCCAUUUGCUUGUGCUAAACUCUCCCCUCAAGACUGAAUGAUGGUUUAAUAGGGUGCUGGGUAGGAUUUGACCUUAUUGCCCUGGAAAAGAGGACAUGCAUCUAACUCUGUACCUCUCUGAGCUAAGAAAUUACUGUUGGGACAGAGGGCCUUGACCCUUCUGUCUUCCCACUGUUUGGUAGGGCAAGAAUAUAUGGUUUCUUAGGGCCUAAGUGGAGACUCACAAGUUAGAAGGACUGGAACCCCAGUGAGGAAGGCCACCCGCCAGGCAAGGGGACCUGUGAGGAAGAGGUUGUAGGGUGACCACAGGGACUGGAGCAGGACUCAGAAGAGGUCAAGGAAAGUGUUCUCCGCUGAUGAAGAGCUGUGACGUAGGGAGGUCUUCCCGUUCCUGGGGGAAUCCUGAAGGAUGCAUGCACAUCCCCAGGGGGAACCCACUGGCCACAGAGAGCCUCACAGCCAGACAGACCCAGGCUGAAAAGCCCCAGCAGAGAAGAGGAUAGCAGCAGUGCCUGCCAUGUAAGGGGCCAGGGUCUCAUUCCUUCCUCCUCAGCCCAGGACACCCAGCCCUGGGGAGGGGAAGAAAUGUGUGUCAGGUUGACUCUAAGCAGCACUGAUUUUCUUUUAUAUCCCAAAGGAGCAGGGAGCCCUCCUCCAGGAAGGUGACCAGCAUCAGGAGGGGGCACAGUUGAAGGAGGUGAUCAGAAAAAAACACAAGUGGUGUUUUCUGUGCGUGCCCUGCCUUGUGGCGGUCUUUCCAUAGCCGCUCGCAGUUACUGAGCAUCCUAAGCCCAGCUGCUGAGGCCCCCCCCCUUCACUCAAAGCCAGUCAUUUCCCCACAUUCGCCUCCCCCAUUCAAGUGCCCCAGCCAAGUCCUUCUGCACAAGAGCUGUUAGAGGUCUCUAUGGUUCCACUGCUGCAAACGUGGGAAGUAGUUCACCGCGAGGCUGAGAGAGGAAGGUUUGCAGAAGACUUUUUUCAACUUUUUCAAAUUUAACUACUGAAUCACAUUCCUGUCAUUCCACUGAAUGUGCCUACUACUCCCUGAGGCUGGCGUGAGUUUAGAAGGCUUCUGGCUGGGAGCACCACACUUCGUUUCUGCCCAGAUGGACAUGUCAACAGGGCCAUGGGGUCAAGGACAACAGGUGGGAAGCAGAUCUCUCUGGCCUUGCACUAUAUGCAAUAGCCAAGACAUGGAAA
Molecule: long non-coding RNA, 1306 nt
Organism: Phacochoerus africanus (Common warthog)
Lineage: Eukaryota; Metazoa; Chordata; Mammalia; Artiodactyla; Suidae
Exons: 3
Source: RefSeq, a predicted model, not a curated record